GACGAACGCUGGCGGCGUGCCUAAUACAUGCAAGUAGAACGCACAGUUUAUACCGUAGCUUGCUACACCAUAGACUGUGAGUUGCGAACGGGUGAGUAACGCGUAGGUAACCUGCCUGGUAGCGGGGGAUAACUAUUGGAAACGAUAGCUAAUACCGCAUAAUAUUAAUUAUUGCAUGAUAAUUAAUUGAAAGGUGCAAUUGCACCACUACCAGAUGGACCUGCGUUGUAUUAGCUAGUAGGUGAGGUAACGGCUCACCUAGGCGACGAUACAUAGCCGACCUGCGAGGGUGAUCGGCCACCCUGGGACUGGGACACGGCCCAGACUCCUACGGGAGGCAGCAGUAGGGAAUCUUCGGCAAUGGACGAAAGUCUGACCGAGCAACGCCGCGUGAGUGAAGAAGGUUUUCGGAUCGUAAAGCUCUGUUGUAAGAGAAGAACGGGUGUGAGAGUGGAAAGUUCACACUGUGACGGUAUCUUACCAGAAAGGGACGGCUAACUACGUG
RNAcentral lists this ribosomal RNA (505 nucleotides) under uncultured bacterium. RNAcentral's name for it is "partial 16S ribosomal RNA". It matches the Rfam family "Bacterial small subunit ribosomal RNA", at positions 28 to 507 of the family's 1533-position model. The record is from RNAcentral.